RNAcentral lists this ribosomal RNA (389 nucleotides) under Enterococcus casseliflavus. RNAcentral's name for it is "bacterial SSU rRNA". It matches the Rfam family "Bacterial small subunit ribosomal RNA", at positions 96 to 475 of the family's 1533-position model. The record is from RNAcentral. Lineage: Bacteria; Bacillati; Bacillota; Bacilli; Lactobacillales; Enterococcaceae.
UGGCGAACGGGUGAGUAACACGUGGGUAACCUGCCCAUCAGAAGGGGAUAACACUUGGAAACAGGUGCUAAUACCGUAUAACACUAUUUUCCGCAUGGAAGAAAGUUGAAAGGCGCUUUUGCGUCACUGAUGGAUGGACCCGCGGUGCAUUAGCUAGUUGGUGAGGUAACGGCUCACCAAGGCAACGAUGCAUAGCCGACCUGAGAGGGUGAUCGGCCACACUGGGACUGAGACACGGCCCAGACUCCUACGGGAGGCAGCAGUAGGGAAUCUUCGGCAAUGGACGAAAGUCUGACCGAGCAACGCCGCGUGAGUGAAGAAGGUUUUCGGAUCGUAAAAACUCUGUUGUUAGAGAAGAAACAAAGGAUGAGAGUAAAAUGUCAUCCCUG